Unclassified non-coding RNA from Callithrix jacchus (white-tufted-ear marmoset), 294 nucleotides. It matches the Rfam family "Metazoan signal recognition particle RNA". Rfam says of the family: The signal recognition particle (SRP) is a universally conserved ribonucleoprotein. The record is from Ensembl. NCBI's taxonomy places the organism in Eukaryota, Metazoa, Chordata, Mammalia, Primates, Cebidae.
GCCGGGCGCGGUGGCGCGUGCCUGUAGUGCCAGCUACUCAGGAGGCUGAGGCUGGAGGAUCACUUGAGCCCAGGAGUUCUGGGCUGUAGUGCGCUAUGCCGAUCAGGUGUCUGCACUAAGUCCGGCAUCAAUAUGGUGACCUCCCGGGAGUGGGGGACCACCAGGUUGCCUAAGGAGGGUGAACCAGCCCAGGUUGGAAAUGGAGCAGGUCAAAACUCCAGUGCUGAUCAGUGGUGGGAUCGCACCUGUGAAUAGCCACUGCACUCCAGCCUGGGCAACAUAGACCCGUCUCUU